RNAcentral lists this unclassified non-coding RNA (356 nucleotides) under soil metagenome. RNAcentral describes it as "partial contains 5.8S ribosomal RNA, internal transcribed spacer 2, and large subunit ribosomal RNA". The stretch from base 1 to 120 matches the Rfam family "5.8S ribosomal RNA", at positions 35 to 154 of the family's 154-position model. The record is from RNAcentral.
GAUGAAGAACGCAGCGAAAUGCGAUAAGUAAUGCGAAUUGCAGAAUUCAGUGAAUCAUCGAAUCUUUGAACGCACAUUGCGCCCGCCAGUACUCUAGCGGGCAUGCCUGUCUGAGCGUCAUUUCAACCCUCGCGCCCGGCUUCUGUCGGGGGCGGUGUUGGGGAUCGGCCUCCCGUCUUCCGGGCGGCCGGCCCCUAAAUGGAGUGGCGACCGCGCCGUAGCCUCCUCUGCGUAGUAGUGAAACACUCGCGGGCGGAGAGCGGUGCGGCCCGCCGUAAAACCCCCAACUCUUCUAAGGUUGACCUCAGAUCAGGUAGGAAUACCCGCUGAACUUAAGCAUAUCAAUAAGCGGAGGA